GUGGGGAAUCUUGCGCAAUGGGCGAAAGCCUGACGCAGCCAUGCCGCGUGAAUGAUGAAGGUCUUAGGAUUGUAAAAUUCUUUCACCGGGGACGAUAAUGACGGUACCCGGAGAAGAAGCUCCGGCUAACUUCGUGCCAGCAGCCGCGGUAAUACGAAGGGGGCUAGCGUUGCUCGGAAUUACUGGGCGUAAAGGGCGCGUAGGCGGACAGCUUAGUCAGAGGUGAAAGCCCAGGGCUCAACCUUGGAAUUGCCUUUGAUACUGGCUGUGUUUAGUUUGGGAGAGGUGAGUGGAACUCCGAGUGUAGAGGUGAAAUUCGUAGAUAUUCGGAAGAACACCAGUGGCGAAGGCGACUCACUGGCCCAAUACUGACGCUGAGGCGCGAAAGCGUGGGGAGCAAACAGGAUUAGAUACCCGUGUAGUCC
This 425-nucleotide ribosomal RNA is filed under the name uncultured bacterium. RNAcentral describes it as "partial 16S ribosomal RNA". It matches the Rfam family "Bacterial small subunit ribosomal RNA", at positions 354 to 796 of the family's 1533-position model. The record is from RNAcentral.